GGUGCUUUCUGUUUGAUAUGUAUGCAAUCCUCGAUAAGUAUAUUUUGCCGUUUUAUCUGAAGACACUAACUGCGUCUGUGAUAAAAACCCAAGACUCUUCACUCAAUGAAGCCCAGGCAAGCCAAAAGAUUGGACAUCCAUGCUAUUUAGGAUGGCAAGAUGCUGAAGGCAGCCAUGAAGAAGUGCUCCAAACAUCUAAAUUGGAAAGGAAUAAAAUAAAGUUUGUCUGGAUAAUUUGAUAUGCAUAUAAAGAUGCCGCAAAUUAGAAAAAAACUCAGAGGUGAAAAAAGAAGAUAAGCAAGAUUCAACUGUAAUUUUAAUUUGUAAUAACUUGAGAGGCCAGACAAAAAGAAUCCUGAAGAAAAAUAUAUGUGAAAUACAGAACAGUAUGGAACAGAUGAGUAGAAGUGGAGAGUCUAGCUUUACUGGGCCAGUCAGCAGUGUCAAAUCUUGUGGCGAAAGAAUCAGUGAAGCAAAUUGGAAAACUUCUCAAGAUAAAGUGGCCUGAGUAAUCAUGCAUCCUUGGUUAACUGCUUAAGAUCACAGUUUGGUAACAAAUGGCCUGCCAGAGAUUGGAGAAUCUGGUGGUGUUACUAUAAUAAGAAAUUUAGUGUGCACUGUCUUGGUGCAUGUAGUGAAUUCACCAUAGCCAGGUUUUGGAAAUGGCAGAGUCUGAGCAAUGAAGCCUUUUUAAGUGCUGAAGUCACCAUGAAUCCAGUCAAGUUAUUACUGUUACAGAAGAAGCAAAUUGUUAUGGACUUGUUUAGUAAAAUUCUGACAUUGAUAUCAAGAUUAUACAACAUGCCCAGCGGUCAAACAUAUCAAGUAGAAGGAAUCCAAUGGUGAAAAUGUGUUGCAGCUAAUUUUGGCUGCCAGAGACAAAACAGUUAUGUGAUGCAGGACAUCAUUCAAGUUUAUUAUUUAUCUUAUCCUUGGAAAACUAUGAAAUGAAUAAAUAUUCAGAUAAUAGAGCUUAAAAAGAAA
This is a non-coding RNA of Pantherophis guttatus, 984 nucleotides long. NCBI's taxonomy places the organism in Eukaryota, Metazoa, Chordata, Lepidosauria, Squamata, Colubridae. The record is from RefSeq and is a predicted model, not a curated record.